Molecule: microRNA precursor, 82 nt
Organism: Aotus nancymaae (Ma's night monkey)
Lineage: Eukaryota; Metazoa; Chordata; Mammalia; Primates; Aotidae
Source: Ensembl
UACUAGGUUGGUGCAAAAGUAAUUGUGGGUUUUGCUUUUAAAGACAAUGACAAAGAUUGCAAUGACUUUUGCACCAACCUAA